GUGCUCCGCAUGACAGCAUACAAUUCCAUAUCUGGACAUGAAUAUAAGCAUGUACAUAUUCCUUGUAUUUGACGGUAGAUGACACGCUAUGUUACCCCUUGUAUUUGACCAAUUCCUGAUUGCAUGCCAUCCACCGUGCAUCUACCCCGUGAGAGGAGGUUCCUGCUUUGAGUUUAGAGUAAGUUUAUUUUUAAAUGUUAAUAUUUUGAGAACAUAUUUGUAUAGAUUUUGUGCUUCUUUUUUCUU
Molecule: long non-coding RNA, 246 nt
Filed under: Elaeis guineensis (African oil palm)
Lineage: Eukaryota; Viridiplantae; Streptophyta; Magnoliopsida; Arecales; Arecaceae
Description: long non-coding RNA (EGUI_LNC064253)
Source: RNAcentral